CACCGUCCAAGUGACUUGGUUCAAAAAACUUUUCCUGUACAGUGGCGCGGGUCUCAUCAUGAUGAUCAUCCUUUUCAGAAGAAAGGGAUCAGGUGUCAUCUCUCGUCAUGCGGGCCGGCGGUGUCGAAAGUAGUUGUAUUUCCGGGUGGGGGUGCUUGCCCGCCUCCUUCCCGCCUUCCCCCGUUCCUCGUCUGGUUCCUUCUACUCGUUCUGACGGGAGGAGUGGGGGAUGUUCUACCCUUCCAAACUAGAAAGGGUGUCCCAUCAAGAACGUGGUGACUGUUCCCUCGCCAGGAAGCCUUUACAAGGAGUCGGAGUACGGUAUGACAUAAUAGUUGUCUCUUGUUGGUUUCCUCCGGAAAACUAACGACUCCGGUGACCUCAAAGUCUGUGACGAGUUCCCAUGUUUCUGUGAGGACCGUAAACCUGUUUCCUCGUUCAUCUUCGUACCUUUGGCUAGCACUUACCCCAAGUGCGUUUUCCUCCUUAUAAAAAGACAGUCUAAACCGUACAUCCUUCUCAGAGGUUAGUGUGAAAAGUCGGAUUGCCCGUCCGAGGUUAAAGCUCGUGACUAUUCGGUGAGUUUGGACAUCAAUCUCGGUUACCGUAUCUACACGGAUGUUAAAGUUGAGGAUCCGCCGAUGUCUGAUUACUCUAAGGAAACCAUUAGUUGCUAAAAUCCCGACGACGAUCUUUACGUUAACUUCGGCCUAAACUACCACAACUUUAGGUACCUCGAGUACCAAUAAACUAACUAGUCAAGAAUUUCCUGGUUCAGUUACUAGCGUGACUGUUUAUACCACCCUCGAAUCUCUUAGCGACGGCGAAACGUAACCUUCAUCAAGUUCGACAUCAACUACUUCAACCUCGACUAUUCCAACCCUAUUCCGAGAGAGGCAAACGCUUGAUAAGUCUCCGUAGGCUGAGUUUGGGUCUUCGAGAUCCGGAUAUGUACCGUGUACGUGAUUUGUUUAAACCUUAAGAGAUAACAGUGUACCACCUUGGUGCCUACCACUUAUAACCACUCUUCAAACUUUGAGGGGUAUCAGAAGCGGGGUAUUCCCUACGAAAAUUUCCUUGUAAAUAACAUCGACCCCCUAUGCUGUCCCUACUACCUUUAUUUCGUUAGCGGCUACUGAUACGACUAAACCAUCGUAUACCCGCGAACAAAAAUAGGUUAGGACUGAACGGAGCCUCCAAACUUUAUCCACGAGGAGAGUUGUUCAUGUAUUCUCUAUGAAAGAUGGAGAGACUAGGUCAAUAACCUAUGUGACUAAUGGGUAAAGACGGCAGGCUACAGAUCUACCCGGAAAGUCCUUACUUAGGGGUGGGGUAGUCUAGUAGAUGGAGUACAUAGUCAUGAUACAAUUUCCUUAUUCCAGUAACUAAAGUUACGAGUACACAUAGCCGUGCCAUACCUAUUUUAUACAUUAGUAGUAACGUUAAAUUCUUCACGUUCGACCUUUCGUUUAAUUCUUCAGACUAAAGAACGGUUAGGGUGUGUGAGUUAUGAAUUUAACCACGUUGUCUUUAAGGACUAAUACGUCCUUUGACCUUUUUUUACGAUAAUCCAAUGGAACACUUAGGUCGUAUUAGUAAUCUUGAAACCAAAACCGUACAAGGGUAAUAUUUGGGCGGUAGAGAACAUUUAUGAAACUAAAGAGAAGAGAGAAUUACUUUUCCGUCGUAGGACGGUCAACGAACGGUUUUUUUUUUUAGUCGUCUUGAUACUAAAAAACGUGGAUCGGGUUAUGUAAGUUAUCGAUUUAACCACGUUGUCUUUUGAAGUCAACAACAAAUUAAAUCUUGAAUCGUUCUAAAAGUACUAAAUUUGGGAAAUUCACCAAUCUAGAUUUAAAGUGACAAGUCAAUUUACAUCUAGAAGUCAAAGACAAGAUUAGACUGUUUCAACUUGGAACCAGAGGAAGUUUAAGAAAUUCACUUUUUUCUCUUCUCCUAGAUGAUGUGAGAGUUCGAAUAGUAUUUUCAUGAACACGUUAUUACAAAACCUUACUGAUAGGGACUAUAAUGGACUGUAACAGAGUUCAUUUAUAGUCCGAGUGUCUAAUCCCUUAGAAUAAGACUCGAAAUUAACAACUAUAGCGGUGGAUGUCUUAUCACUUUUCGUCGUAAUAAUCAUGCAUAUAUUUUUACUUUCGAUACACUACCGGUUAUGAACACCAAGGAAACCGUAGUGUCUGUACAAUCUUUAGAAGGAAACCUUGAAAUAGCGGACACAACUAAAAAAUUACAUCAAAAUUAUCUUAAUAUCGACAGUGUAAGUAAAACACCUACUACAUAGUACAAGUUCCUUCUCGAAAGUUAUGGGAAGACAUAGUUUUCACUCCAAGUCUACGUGAUGUCGUGUGUUAGAAUAACCAACAAACAAAUAAGCACUUGUUUAGAAUCAAUAAGAGAAGUCUCCGGACAAUAAAUCACGUUUAAAUACCAAAACAAUCACUUCUGAUUAUAAUCCACGGAGUGCCGACCUUAUCAAAAGUUUCUCUAACGAUCUAUUCGUGCUUAAAGCCGAUACGGAAAAUGCCAAAAGAAAGUACAUUUCUUUAAAGAAUUCUAGUCCGUUGGUUCUGAAGAGAAGAGAGAGUGUUUCAUUUCUUACGUUCAUUACAAUAAUAAACUUUCUAAUUUUUUUAUAGAUCGAACUUCUAAGACGAUCAAAAACGAUUUAGUUUAACAAAAGAGUUGACUAUAUCCCUCCGUUGACGUUAUAAACUUUUAGGAUAGUUUGAUCACUAUCCUCAAGGUCUUACUUGAAAGACACUGUCUCUCGACUUUUGAAUCGUUGACAAGUGAAAAAAAUUUAGAUUUAUACAUCGUUAGUACCAUGUUCACUCGUCCGUACGGAUUUUUUAUGUAAACGUAACUCUUCAUUAUCUUAUACUUGAACACUUCGAGCUAUAACACGUUUCAAUGUCAUAAGGCCGUUCUAUGUUGUUUCCUUGUAGUGAUCUGAAUACAACUUUAAAUUGAUAACAAGGUAGUACACUACUCGGACCACCGUGGAAAGAAAAAGUUUGUGAAGUUAACUUUCCUUCGCCGAUCAACUGUGAGAAAGGAUGGACUAUAGAUAGUUGUAUCGGUGUAGCCAAACACGGAGAAGUCACCUACCAUAUUGGAUUUCUUGUAAACGAUCUGAGCUUUUUUCGCUGUUUGUUUUUUAGUAGUCGAAACGUAAACAAGGAAACAGCCCCUCAUUAAUAAGAGAUACGAAGAAAAUUAAAAAUAUACAACAAUGUAAAAUUAAUAUAGACCAGAUAUAGAUACCGUAAUGGAUUACUUAAUCAAACCUAUUACCGUCUCAGUGGGAAGAUGGAACAUAUAAUAGACGAAUAACUAAACUCAUAAGAUACUUUAAGGUACAGCAUUUUUUUUAGUAUUGCACAUCCUAAGUACAUGAACCAAGUGGCGACAAAGAAGUAGGGAGUAUACAUUCACUACGUACUUUGGAUAGAUAAAGACUUUUACGACACAGAGUAUGACAAUGUUGAACAGAAUUGUCAUGAGUUUCCCCGUGGAAGGAACGAUUCGUCUUGUACAAAAGUAUUCUACAUGGAUAAAACCGGUCCCUUAGGACUAUGAAUUGUAAGUGUUAUAGUUUAUUUUUGUUUUUCAUUAUCUAGGUUAGUUGUGUCUUCAACUACUAUUUCCUUCUAUGAAGUAAAACCUCUUGGCUAAGCCCAAGUCAACCGAUUACCGCAGUGUGGCUCGGGUGGGUGUAAGCUGAGAGUGGAGGCACCUACGAGUAUAAAACUUUACGAGUUUUUACGUCAAAAUCCAAGAAUUGAUUUCAAGAACUAAAGUAACCUGAAGGGCUCUAAACUACUUACUAUCUCUAUCUUUAUAUGACGUGACGACACGGAGACAUUACACUGACUGGUGGAACUGAAACUGUUAUGAACUCCUGUUGACCAGACCUUAGACCUAGAUUUCGGUAAAAUUUCACAAGUACUUUCCCCACCAGGACCACUCGACGGUAGUACUAAAGUAUACUCGAUCGGUAGUAUUGAAACCAGUUAAUUCUAAAGCGAGGUCAACACGUACAUAUUUAUACAAUAAACAAGGAUGACGUUCAAAGAACGAAAUAAGAAGAACAUAAACGAUGAAGACCUCACCGUCUGUACAGUACAAACCUAGAUGAUUCACGUGAUUCGUUGGAGAAGAGUUGACUUGUAUUACCAUGUUCUUGGUCGAUUGACACUAAUCUAAUAGUCGUCCAUGAAGAAAAAUAACCUGUAAUAAAAGUUAACAAGGUUCAUUUGAACGUCUAUCCUACCUCAUAUGGUCUGAGAAAACCAACCACAACCUUAAGAUAUUUUCUGUCUCAGUACUUUUGGUUCACUUGUUUUGUUUUAUCCAACGUACUGUGAAUUGUCAUUGUACAUCACAACCGAAGUGUGAAGCUUAACAUGCCAUGCGUAAAGAAAAUUUUGAGAAGUCUCCUAACAUCUUAUAUAGCACACAGUAAGGAUAAAAAUAGUAAGAAAUCAGUCUACCGCCGUAUAACUUAUACUCGCAUGUUCUUUCCUUUAACAUCUUAUGAUCUCAAAUUUUACAAUAAGACUGGAAAGUUUGAUCUUGUUUCGGAAUUGUCACAUUUCACAUUUACGGAAAUGUAGUCUGUAUAAGGAGUGAUUUAUAAGUAACAUUAGUACCCGGUGAACUAAUAGAUCGUACCCCGUCAUGUUCGUUGUACCUAAAAUAUAUAAUGUUCCUUAAGUUAUGUGAAACUUGUUCGACAUUGUAUACGGGAACAUGUUCCAUCGAUAAAUCAGAUGAAACACUUAACGUUGUCACUACACAACAAACUGAGAAGGUGUUGGACGUUCCUGACCGGAUGGUUAAUAAGGAACAGGAGUCCUCGGUGUUAUUUUACGAGUGUAGGUACUGUCCAGAUUUAGUGGUAAACGGAGUUCACGCUCUCCUCCUAGGUCUCAGGUCAACGUUGUUGGAGUCUUCGAUCAGGUUUGAUCACCCUCCAACACACGUGUUUGGUCUUCCAUCUGACUUCUUAUCAUUACCGAGCACCAUUCCAAGUCUACUCUUCCUAUCUUUUGGGUCACGUGUCCGUCCAGUGGAAGACGUUCGCCGCUUACCCGGAAGACUUCUUCCGUUUCCUCAACAGGCAAAAUACACUACGACUAUAGCCACAGUACCACAAAAGAGGAGUACCUUUCCAAAUACUCGAUCGAUGGUUGCCCUUGUACGUUCCGAAUUAACUCUCCAUGUUCCCAUCGUUGUGUCUUCGUGUACCACUUUCAUCGCUCGUCUUGUUUGGGCUCCAUUAUGUCGUUCUCCAUGAUGAGAAUUCCGUUCUUUAACUGAACGAAGUUUUCCCGAAUUCCAUGUACAUACCUCUCUUACUAUAUUUGGUGUACUUAGAGUUACUCGACGUUCGGGACCUCUCAUUGGAACUUUAAACCCAUGUGUUAUAGGCGAUAUGUUUUUACGUCUAGUAUAGAUCCCUCUAACUCUACGAGUUCUGGUUCCUUCCAUAUGACUUCCGACGUUUGCUGUAUGAAGUUCUUUCCUAUUAACUCGUCUCGCCCUAAGACCUGUGGCCGUCGUUGUACUACUACGGUGUUAAAGGGAAGGUCGCUUGGUACCUCCCACCUAUGAUGAAGAUCGGAUUUGUUGGUUGGAUAGUUCGAUAGAGCGGACAAGCCCAAACUCAAGUUGUUCCGAUGGGAAAUACCUUGAGUGUAUUGGAAUACACACGGUGAAGUACAACAUUUUUCCUCUUUCUUCUAGUCGUAGACAGCUACAUGUACGAAAAAGUAUACAUCUAAGCAGGAGAAAGUCUAACCUGACAAGCGUCUAACGUACUACAAUGACGUCAAAGGGGAGGUCGAUUGGUACCUCUCCUCAUGAGCACAUCGGACUUACUGGCUGGAUAGGUUCAAUAGAGGAUCAAGGCUAAACUCAAGUUGUUCCGCUGGAACGUUCCUGCAGAGUAUCGGAACACA
This 5984-nucleotide ribosomal RNA is filed under the name Triticum aestivum (bread wheat). RNAcentral describes it as "partial small subunit ribosomal RNA". Lineage: Eukaryota; Viridiplantae; Streptophyta; Magnoliopsida; Poales; Poaceae. The record is from RNAcentral.